ACGGGAGGCAGCAGUGAGGAAUAUUGGUCAAUGGGCGGGAGCCUGAACCAGCCAAGUAGCGUGAGGGAUGACUGCCCUACGGGUUGUAAACCUCUUUUGUUUGGGAAUAAAGGAGCCUACGUGUAGGCUUUUGCAUGUACCUUUCGAAUAAGCAUCGGCUAAUUCCGUGCCAGCAGCCGCGGUAAUACGGAAGAUGCGAGCGUUAUCCGGAUUUAUUGGGUUUAAAGGGAGCGUAGGCCGUGCUUUAAGCGUGUUGUGAAAUGUAGGCGCCCAACGUCUGCACUGCAGCGCGAACUGGAGCACUUGAGUACGCAGGAAGUAGGCGGAAUUCGUCGUGUAGCGGUGAAAUGCUUAGAUAUGACGAAGAACUCCGAUUGGGAAGCCAGCUUACUGUAGCGCCACUGACGCUGAUGCUCGAAAGCGUGGGUAUCGAACAGGAUUAGAUACCCUGGUA
This 454-nucleotide ribosomal RNA is filed under the name uncultured Prevotella sp. RNAcentral describes it as "partial 16S ribosomal RNA". It matches the Rfam family "Bacterial small subunit ribosomal RNA", at positions 341 to 792 of the family's 1533-position model. The record is from RNAcentral. Lineage: Bacteria; Pseudomonadati; Bacteroidota; Bacteroidia; Bacteroidales; Prevotellaceae.